Molecule: long non-coding RNA, 2336 nt
Organism: Cottoperca gobio
Lineage: Eukaryota; Metazoa; Chordata; Actinopteri; Perciformes; Bovichtidae
Exons: 3
Source: RefSeq, a predicted model, not a curated record
AAAAGUUCCUUUGUGUUGUGCUGUUUUUAUUUUGCAUUCAUUUUAACUCUACCAAAAAAAUACUUGGUGCUAGCAAUGCUGUCGUGUUAGCAUUCAGCUAGCUAACCUGCAGCCAACAUGUUGCUCCAUCUCUCCACCUGUGUCACCUCAAACUACAGGCCUCGCGCUGGAGGUUCUUACUCCUGGGGACCAACUCCUGAAACUCCCCCAAAGGAUUCCCUCCCAGUUCUUCACUUCACCAAGUCCAAAACCCAAAGAUGAAGAGAGACCGUGUGACCUGUGUUGGAGCUGGGCUGCCGUCUCCAUUACUAUAGGCUUUCCUGGUGUCUGUGACGUUCGCUGAGGGAAAACAGAUGCUGACCCGUCUCUUACACCUAAAGAGGAAGGAAAAGACUGGUGCGCAGACAAACAAGAAUUGCCGCGGGAGACAACAGAAACCCCAAUCGACCCGCUGGAGUGUGCAGGGCACGGCAUGUGUGUUUAAGAGUGAGCACAAGUGUGUGUUUGUUUGCUUGAGUGAUUUCUAUUCGUAGGUUCCCCCUUAUAAUGCAAGCAAGCCUGUUCUUUACCUGUACAGAAGAUGGAUGCUUUUGGUGUUCAAACAUGUCAUCGGAGGUUACGAGAAGCGAAAGCUUAAAAACUUUGAAAAGUUCAUCUCCUGGGCCCAUUUCAGCUUUCCCUCAGGGAUAGCUUUGCAGGUAAUGGCCUCAAGCUUUACCAUCCAUCUGACAAGUAAAAUGGAUGGAAAGAAAAACGUGGUACACGGGACUCAAACAUCAAUUGCAACCUUGUCUUAGGUUGUGAUGUCAAUCAGGGAGGUGAGAGUGAAGGUGAAGAGCUGACAAGAAAUACUUUUUGGACAGAAACGUGUUCGCCAGCUCUGAACUCACUUUUCCCCUCGUUCAAGGUGUAGUUUUUGACAGGGUGCCUGUUAUGGCGUGGCUGUGAUUUGAGGUGAGCAGCACGUCACUGUGUCUCUACAUCGGUAAGGGCCAAUGCCAAAAUCGUCAGAUUGUGUGAAACUACUGCAUAGAUAUGACUUCAGUUUAAAUGUGAAACUGAGGCGUGAACUUAUCUAGACAUUACCCGGGGAAGCUGUGUGUGAGAACGCAAAGGUCUCUGUAAUGUCUGAUUGAGCCCGUGUGUCAAGAGAGCAUGUCAUUUCCUGGCAAUUUCAAAAGCGAGGGAGUGGGGGCGUGUUCAUGAUGUUUCUAUCUGUCGGCUGGCGCAAAAUUGGAAGAAAACAAACAUCUGAGGUUGAAGAAGGGUCAAGAACACACCAAUUAAAAUGUCGAACUGGAGAGACGACUAGAUUUGGGAACUUCUGUCAGUAAGGGCCAAUGACGAAAUCAUCAGACAAAUUCAAUGAACGGCAAGAGACUCAGUUGUUAAUGACCAAACUACAAACCAGCUACUUGGCUGCGGUGUAACCGAUGUUAUCUGGUACUUUCCUGCACGCUCUGCUCAGACCCCAUGCCACGCCUCAACCAAUCAGACUAUUUCCAGAAGGGGUGAGAAUGACACCGGACAUGACACUGUUGUGGGAAACGGCAAUGUACAGAGAAACCGGUCCGGACAUCAAACAUGUUUAAGCAGAGAGUUAAGCUCUUGCCGUCACUUCACUGCCGUCUCCAUUAUCCCCACUUUGCUAUGAUGUGUCCUCUCUCUCUAACCAACCAUAAGAUAUUUCGAUAUUUCCCCCUCGCCCCCACUCCUCCAUCCGAGGUCUUCUCCUUCAAUCUGACAGCUACAUGACUGUGUGAAUGGUAUGGCUGGACUUAGCCUGUAUCAUUGUAUUGGACUGAAGGUGAAAGGGGCAACUAUAAUUUCCCGUCUCCCACAUUGUAUAUGUGUGUGAUCGCCGGGCAGUGAAGUGUAAUGAGGGAGAGACGGGCUGCUUGCUGUCAGUGAGAUCUGAGCUCUGGAUUGGCUGAUCAGUGGUCCAGAAGCUUGGAUCGUACACCGCACAGCUCAUCUCGAGGAGGACUUUAACCUGAGCAUGCGUAAGAGACCUCUGUGCGUGUGUUUAUGACGGUCAGCUCUCUCAUCCUCCCUCCUUCAGUCUUUUACAUAUUAUCUCCAUGUCUCUGUAUCUGUCCCACUCUCUGACCAUAAGUGUAUGUAUCUUUUUUGGCUCCUUUUCUAUGUUGGUUUGCCAGUUUUUCCUGGCUUGAUAUGGGUUCUUGAAGGCCAACAUUUUUAUUUUUAAGCUGCCAAUGAAGAAUUUUGUGUUUCUCUCAGAAAUGUAAUCUUUAAAGCAAUGGAGAGUUAACAUCCAACUACAGGACGGAUGAGGACACUAAUGAUGACGUGUGACCCACCAACAUGUCCCAAGA